Molecule: long non-coding RNA, 2612 nt
Filed under: Homo sapiens (human)
Lineage: Eukaryota; Metazoa; Chordata; Mammalia; Primates; Hominidae
Description: HSALNT0010889
Source: RNAcentral
GACAAUGUUUCCUAGGAGGAUCCAGAGGACACCUCUUUCAUGAAAGCAAUGAGGAGUGCAGUGCUAAGGAGCACUCAUUAUUUGAGCACUUUGUGAUAACUGUCUUACAUAGGCUGGGCUUGACAGAAGAUAUUGCCAUGGAAUUGAGAUUCCUAGUAUCAAGGGGAUGACAGGACCUGGAAUGGAAGAGGUCAAAUGGCAGGCCUGUUAGAGUGAUGUGGACAUAGCUGCUAUGACAGCUACUGCAAGGCUAGAGUAGGAUUCAAUAUGCCUUGACCCUGAAGAAUCUGCAGCAAUGGCUGACAAGUCAGGGCAUUCUGACGAGGGCGACAGAGAGUCAACCAAAAUGUUACUUACUCUUACUAGGUUGGUGCAAAAGUGAUUACAUUAAAAAUAAUGGCCAAAACCAGCAAUCACUUUUGCACCAACCUAAUAUAAUAAAAAGAAUACAUCAAGAGCUGGUGAACAGAAACAUUUACCAGUUUUCACUUCAGAAAAACAGAUUUUCCUCACCCACUUUCCAGAUAAGUCAUUUCACAGACCUGGAGCCCACUCAUUGAACAAGAGAUGGGUAACCUGAGGAAGGAUUUUGCAAUACUACUGCAAGGAUAUAUGAUAAAUAUUCCCCAAAAGGAUCUAAGACUAUUUAUCAGCGUAACUGUGAACCUGCAAAAAGAAAAUCCUCAGACUUUUCAAGAAAUGUUGUAUAUGAGGAACGUGGCUCUGUAUUGAUUCUGAAUCAAGGGACCUGAAAUACCUUUAUUAUGCUCCAGUUAGAAUGGGGGCAUAGAGAAGCCAAGUGAUAGAUGCAAUUUUAGCUCAAGUAUGUCUCAUAAUCGGUUUAGGGGAUCUGUUAGAUCUAACCUUUGGCUAUUUCUCUGGUUUCUGAAUGUGCUGUCGGGAUAUGGAUAGUUACUAACUGGCAGAACCUUCAUAUUUUUCUCCAGCCUACAGAGUAAGAGCCAUCAUGGUAAGACACUUGCAACUGUCCUUCCCCUCAGCCAAGUUAAUAUGUCUAAGUAAUAACACAUAUGGGAGGAAUUGCAGAGAUUAGCAGCACCAUUAAACACUUUAAAAGUGCAGGAGUGGGCUGGGUGCCAUGGCACACACCUGUAAUCCCAGCACUUUGGGAUGCCGGGGUGGGUGGAUCACCCUAGGCCAGGAGUUCGAGACCAGCCUACCCAACGUGGUGAAACCCCAUCUCUACUAAAAAUACAAAAAUUAGCUGGGCUUGGCAGCGUGCACCUAUAAUCCCAGCUACUCAAGAGGCUGAGGCAGGAGAAUUGCUUGAACCCAGGGGGCAGAGGUUGCAGUGAGCCCAGGUCACACCACUAUACUCCAGCCUGGGUGACAGAACGAGAGUCUGUCUCACAAAAAUAAAUAAAUAAAUAAAAAUAAAAAAAAUUAAUAAGUGCAGGAGCAUUGAUAUCCAUUAUAUUCUCAACUAAUUACCCACGUGACCCCUACAGGAACUCUAUGGACCAUGGUAAUGAGGGUGAAUUUAACCAAGUGAUGGCUUAAAUCAGGUCUGCCACAUCAGAUAUGGUGUCUUCUAGAAGAGAACAAGACUGCCUUUGGCACUUGGAAUGCUGCUAUUGAUCUGACUCUCACUCCUCCUCCUUAGAAUACUUCUUAAAUAAACUACCUGAAUGCAAGACUCUGGCGUUUGGAGGACUCAGGCUAAGAUGAUUCUCCAUUGUCAUUGUCUGUGUUACUCCACUUGUUUGGGGGAAUUCUAUCUUCUGUGGCCACGUGAUCUGAAUAGGAACUGCUAUAUUCUUAGAUAACUUUAUCACCUCGGCCACAGAAGUUGGUCAAGGGAUGAACAUGGGACACAAGAUGGGGCAAGUAGGGUGCUUCUCCAGAUUUUCUCUAUUUGGAGCUAUUAGGAAAAAUAGCCUUCCUUUCUAGUUAUAGAAUUGUAAGCAUAUAGGUUUUUAGCCACUUGUAGCAUGUUGUCCACAACUUGAAGAAAUUGGUCUGAGAGAAUAGAGCUGACAUCAGAAAAAAAUUGGAGGGAAGGUAUAAAGUGAUAAUCUCAGAAUGCUCUGCAUCAAUCAUUCAUAAUCUAGCUACAUAUACCCUUUACAGUCAUGCAACAAUAUAUCUUUGUGCGGGUGGCAAUAAGUUUCUGUUCAUGUAGACGUUAGUUUAAACGGAAUUUCUUUCACUUGUAAUUCAAAGGCGUUCAUAGAUAAGAAUUCCUUCAUGGGAAUUAUGUUUUAUUUUUAAAUAAAUUUCAUGUCUAUCCCUUGCUUCCUUGAAAUAAUUUUACUUGUACUUGGUAACUAUAAGUAAAUUUUACUUGAAAAGUAUAGCCAUGUCUGAAAAACAUAAUUAAGAAACAUACAGAGUUGAAGAGCAGUGUGGGCUUUGAUGUCAAAUAGACCUACCAUUUCUAAGUUAUGUGACCUUUGAGCAAGUGACUUAAGCUACCUGAGCCUUCACUCCCUCAUUUGUAUCAUAAGUGCUCAGUGCAGGAAAACAGAAAGCACCUUGGGUAUUUCAAGCAGAAAGAGAUUUAGUACAAGGAAUCAGAUUCUUUAAAAAUUAAUUGCCCAGGAGGAAUAAAAGUUGGGAGGCCAUCAUUCACUGUCACAUUAUAAUGCUGC